GAAGUGUUGUAAGCAGCUUGAAGAUUUGAACUUGCGUUUUUGCGAAGGUGUGACUGACACAGGCUUGGUUGAAUUAGCUCAAGGCUGCGGGAAAUCACUAAAGUCUCUUGGUGUUGCAGCUUGUGCAAAAAUAACUCACAUAUCAUUGGAAGCAGUGAGCUCCUAUUGCAAAUCACUUGAAACUUUGUCACUGGAUUCAGAAUGCAUGCAUAAUGGUGGUAUUCUUUCUGUGGCCCAAGGAUGCCCUUCUUUAAAAGUCUUGAGACUACAAUGUAUUAAUGUUACUGAUGACGCUUUGAUAGCUGUGGGAACUCAUUGUUUGUCAUUGGAGUUGUUGGCUUUAAACAGUUUCCAGCGAUUUACUGACAAGGGUUUGCGUGCCAUUGGGAAUGGGUGCAAGAAGUUGAAAAAUCUUUCUCUAAGUGAUUGCUAUUUCCUGAGUGACAAGGGCUUAGAAGCAAUUGCCACUGGUUGUAGAGAACUGACACAUCUUGAAGUUAAUGGUUGCCACAAUAUUGGAACGAUUGGUCUGGAAGCCAUUGGAAGAUCUUGCCUACGCCUCACUGAGUUGGCUUUGCUAUACUGCCAAAGGAUUGGCAAUCAUGCUCUUCUCGAAAUUGGAAAGGGCUGUAAGUUUUUGCAGGCUCUUCAUCUUGUGGACUGCUCUAGUAUUGGUGAUGAUGCCAUUUGCAGUAUUGCUAGAGGCUGUAGGAAUUUGAAGAAACUUCAUAUUCGCCGAUGUUACGAGAUUGGAAACAAAGGAAUAAUAGCCAUUGGUGAGAAUUGCAAGUCUCUCACGGAUCUUAGCCUUAGGUUUUGUGAUAGGGUGGGGGAUGAGGCCCUUAUUUCCAUCGGUCAAGGUUGCUCCUUACAACAUUUGAAUGUUAGUGGUUGCCACCUAAUUGGUGAUGCAGGAAUAAUAGCUAUUGCAAGAGGGUGCCCUGUACUCAGCUAUCUAGAUGUAAGCGUACUUCAGAAUUUGGGAGACAUGGCAAUGGCCGAAUUAGGAGAAGGCUGUCCAUUGCUGAAGGAGAUUGUGCUGUCUCACUGCCGACAAAUAACUGAUGUCGGUCUAGCACACCUUGUUAAAAAUUGCACAAUGCUCGAGUCCUGCCAUGUGGUUUAUUGUCCAGGUAUAACUGCAGCUGGAGUUGCCACUGUGGUGUCUAGUUGUGCAAACAUAAAGAAGGUCCUGGUUGAGAAAUGGAAGGUUAGCGAGAGGACCAAACGAAGAGCAGGUUCUGUUAUUUCCUACCUAUGUGUGGACCUUUAGAUUCUACAUCUAUUUAAGGGCACCGGUCGCUGUUGGAUUUCAGUAAAAUUUGGGGUUAGGCCUUAGGAUUUUAAAUGUUUAAGCAAGCACUUGUUCAUGAACCUGGUUAUAUGAAUUUGUUUUAUUCGGGUUCUAUUUAUUUAUUUAUUUGGUACAAAUGGC
This 1435-nucleotide unclassified non-coding RNA is filed under the name Hevea brasiliensis (rubber tree). The record is from RNAcentral. Lineage: Eukaryota; Viridiplantae; Streptophyta; Magnoliopsida; Malpighiales; Euphorbiaceae.